This 421-nucleotide ribosomal RNA is filed under the name uncultured bacterium. RNAcentral's name for it is "bacterial SSU rRNA". It matches the Rfam family "Bacterial small subunit ribosomal RNA", at positions 355 to 795 of the family's 1533-position model. The record is from RNAcentral.
UGGGGAAUAUUGGACAAUGGGGGCAACCCUGAUCCAGCCAUGCCGCGUGAGUGAUGAAGGCCUUCGGGUUGUAAAGCUCUUUUGGCGGGGACGAUGAUGACGGUACCCGCAGAAUAAGCCCCGGCUAACUUCGUGCCAGCAGCCGCGGUAAGACGAAGGGGGCUAGCGUUGUUCGGAAUUACUGGGCGUAAAGCGCGUGCAGGCGGUUGCCAAAGUCGGGUGUGAAAGCCUUGAGCUUAACUCAAGAAAUGCACUCGAUACUUGGUGACUAGAGGACCGGAGAGGAUAGUGGAAUUCCCAGUGUAGUGGUGAAAUACGUAGAGAUUGGGAAGAACACCAGUGGCGAAGGCGGCUAUCUGGACGGUUUCUGACGCUGAGACGCGAAAGCGUGGGGAGCAAACAGGAUUAGAUACCCGUAGUC